RNAcentral lists this non-coding RNA (21 nucleotides) under Caenorhabditis elegans. Lineage: Eukaryota; Metazoa; Nematoda; Chromadorea; Rhabditida; Rhabditidae. The record is from RNAcentral.
UCCUCUCAACCGAUACGUCAG